GAUGAACGCUGGCGGCGUGCCUAAUACAUGCAAGUCGAGCGAACGGACGAGAAUCUUGCUUCUCUGAUGUUAGCGGCGGACGGGUGAGUAACACGUGGAUAACCUACCUAUAAGACUGGGAUAACUUCGGGAAACCGGAGCUAAUACCGGAUAAUAUUUUGAACCGCAUGGUUCAAAAGUGAAAGACGGUCUUGCUGUCACUUAUAGAUGUAUCCGCGCUGCAUUAGCUAGUUGGUAAGGUAACGGCUUACCAAGGCAACGAUGCAUAGCCGACCUGAGAGGGUGAUCGGCCACACUGGAACUGAGACACGGUCCAGACUCCUACGGGAGGCAGCAGUAGGGAAUCUUCCGCAAUGGGCGAAAGCCUGACGGAGCAACGCCGCGUGAGUGAUGAAGGUCUUCGGAUCGUAAAACUCUGUUAUUAGGGAAGAACAUAUGUGUAAGUAACUGUGCACAUCUUGACGGUACCUAAUCAGAAAGCCACGGCUAACUACGU
RNAcentral lists this ribosomal RNA (496 nucleotides) under uncultured bacterium. Its description in RNAcentral is "partial 16S ribosomal RNA". It matches the Rfam family "Bacterial small subunit ribosomal RNA", at positions 28 to 506 of the family's 1533-position model. The record is from RNAcentral.